UCCUAACCCGGAUGCUGCAGAUCAUCAAGUUUGGAUUUGACUCUGGGUGUCGCUCAGUGCUCUGUGGUGGAACACCUGCCUGAAAAGUAGAUACCUGGGAUGCAAAGAAAACUCAUUCACUGAGUGAUUCUUCAGCCUCAUUUACUGAUCAGUGCUUUUGGGCAGUGGACGAACUGUGUAACAGCCUGAGAUAAACCAAAUGACAUAUUGCAAUUCAGAUUGAAAAUAUUUUGAACAUUGAACUGAUCAAAAUGAUAUCCUCUACGUGAUAACACAGUUUCACAACUCGAUGCAAAA
Molecule: long non-coding RNA, 297 nt
Organism: Fukomys damarensis (Damara mole-rat)
Lineage: Eukaryota; Metazoa; Chordata; Mammalia; Rodentia; Bathyergidae
Exons: 3
Source: RefSeq, a predicted model, not a curated record